Molecule: long non-coding RNA, 1864 nt
Organism: Quercus robur (English oak)
Lineage: Eukaryota; Viridiplantae; Streptophyta; Magnoliopsida; Fagales; Fagaceae
Exons: 4
Source: RefSeq, a predicted model, not a curated record
UUUUUUUUUCCUUUUAACACUUCAAAACGAACGAAGGAAUUUUUUUUCCUCAGUCCUUUUCUUUCCAUAAUUUUUUUUUCCUUUGUUCGUUCCACAGUGAGCUGAACCAAACUCACCCAACUCAUCCAACUCCAGAACGUAACCUUAAAUGCUUGGAUCGAGAAGAUUGGAUGAUCAGAACCAACUCCAGAACUCAUCCUUCUUCUUUUUCUAUUUUUUUUUCUUGUUCUUGGAUGAUCGGGAAGAUUGGAUGGUCAGUAAAUCUCCCCCCCCCCCCUUUUUUUCGUCAGUCUUCUUGAUUCGCCAGAGGGUCUUGAUCUGCUGUUGUUCUAAUUUUCUUGUUGUUGUUGUUGAUCUGCUGUUGAUCCGAAAGAGUUGUUGUUCUAAUUUUUUUUUUUUCUGUUCUUGAUCUGCUGUUGUUGUUGUUUUGAUUUUAGAUUUGUUGUUUAAUAGAGGGUAAUUUGGUAAUUUCCUGUGAGCCCAACGGAUAUAUCAAAACGCCUCAUUCACGUUUUGAUUUAUGGACCUCAGGAGGUCCAUAAAUUUUGCGCGUUUUGGACGCUAUUUUUGCCUGAGUCCAAAACGCAGCUUUUAUCAAAAAGUUGCAUUUUGGGCUGAGCCAAACGCAAUUUUUCUACAGCUUUUUCUAAUAUGCACGUUUUCAGCUCCUAAAAGUGCAAACAAAUGCACACUAAGUGUGUGUUUGUUUGCACUUUUAGGAGCUCAAAAAGCCCAUAUUACAAAAAGCUGGAGGAAAAUUGCGUUUGGCUCAGCCCAAAAUGCAACUUUUUGAUAAAAGUUGCGUUUUGGGCAUAGGCCAAAAACGAGGUAUAAACGCGCAAAAUUUAUGAACCUCAGGAGGUCCAUAAAUCAAAACGCGCACUGCGCGUUUGAUCUGUUACCAUUGGCUGAUGAUGGAAUUACGAAAAUACCCAUAAAAUUCAUCAGUUCUCUCAACGCCUGAAGCCUCACGCCCCUCAUCUCAUCUCUCUGCCCUUUUCACGAAGCUCCUCUCACACCUCCCAUCUCUUCUCUCUGCUCUGCCCUCUCCUUAUUGAAGGUAGAGAUUUGAUCAACAAAACACCAAGCAACACUAAUCUGCUCCCAAAAACCACCAGGAUUGCAUCAGUGCAAUUGAUGGCACACAUGUGACAGCAGUUGUACCUACUGAGAAGUCCAUUCCAUACUUUGGAAGAAAGGGAUAUCCAACCCAAAAUGUGAUGACUGCAUGUGACUUUGAUAUGUUAUUCAUAUUUGUUUUGCCUGAAUGGGAAGAUGCAGCACACGACACUCACAUUUUUCUUGAUACUAUUCGUAAACAGAGUAACAACUUUCCGCACCCACCACCAGGGAAAUAUUAUGUAGUUGAUUCUGGAUACCCAAUGAUGAAAGGCUAUUUGGCACCAUACAAGGGGAUAUCAUACCAUCUUCAAGACUUUCGAAGGAGAGGUGAAAGCCCUAGAACUAGACAUGAAAAAUUUAAUCAUGCUCACUCAUCUCUUCGAUGUACGAUUGAGCGCACUUUUGGUGUGUGGAAGAAUAAAUGUAAAAUUAUCAGAAACAUGCCAUCUUUUCUAUUCCAUAUCCAAAUACUUAUUGUAUCUGCUACUAUGGCUCUUCAUAAUUUUGUUAGACUAAAUGAUAGGGAUGAUAGGGGCUUCAUAAACGCCAAUCGAGAUUCAAUUUCUAGAAGAGAACAUAAUAGUGAAGCAGAUAAUAGUUAUGAGCAGAACUCAGGAUCUUUAACAGACCCUGCGAUGGUGGUUCUUCGUGAUUCCAUUGCUAAUUUCAUUUGGAGGGAUAAUAAUUAGUAGUUGUCUUUUUUUUUUUUUUUUUUUUAUAAUAUCAUAUAGUACAAUUUAAA